GGUCCUGAAGGAACGUUGAAGACGACGACGUUGAUAGGCCGGGUGUGUAAGCGCAGCGAUGCGUUGAGCUAACCGGUACUAAUGAACCGUGAGGCUUAACCUU
This 103-nucleotide ribosomal RNA is filed under the name Escherichia coli. Its description in RNAcentral is "partial 23S ribosomal RNA". It matches the Rfam family "Bacterial large subunit ribosomal RNA", at positions 2823 to 2925 of the family's 2925-position model. RNAcentral also lists the same sequence under 2 other names. The record is from RNAcentral. Lineage: Bacteria; Pseudomonadati; Pseudomonadota; Gammaproteobacteria; Enterobacterales; Enterobacteriaceae.